CAAGAUUGAGGGUAUUCUGUCAGUAAAGACCCUAGAUGGGGAAGAUGCUAUGAGAGUUUCAGUGAAGACACUAAAGUCAUUAGAAAAUUGAGCUGUCUUGUGAC
Molecule: long non-coding RNA, 104 nt
Organism: Ipomoea nil (Japanese morning glory)
Lineage: Eukaryota; Viridiplantae; Streptophyta; Magnoliopsida; Solanales; Convolvulaceae
Exons: 3
Source: RefSeq, a predicted model, not a curated record